UAGAAAGCAGAGCCCAGUACAUACAUUCAC
Molecule: non-coding RNA, 30 nt
Filed under: Mus musculus (house mouse)
Lineage: Eukaryota; Metazoa; Chordata; Mammalia; Rodentia; Muridae
Source: RNAcentral